Molecule: long non-coding RNA, 1422 nt
Organism: Frankliniella occidentalis (western flower thrips)
Lineage: Eukaryota; Metazoa; Arthropoda; Insecta; Thysanoptera; Thripidae
Exons: 2
Source: RefSeq, a predicted model, not a curated record
GAAAAUCUGUCAACAACUUUUAUUUGCCUUGGGAUCAAGAGAUGGCAAGUUCAAAAUGUGCGACAAACAGAGGACGACAAUUCGUGAGAAGUGCGGCAAGACUUAAAAUUCUUACUGUGCAAUCAGUAUGCCGUUAUCAUAAAAAGUCACAUAGGUGAGGUGUCAUUAUUGUGUGUAUUCACGUGGGUCUUACCAUCUAUUGAGAGAUUUAAAGAGGUAUUUGGAAUGCACAUUCUGGUGAGUGACCCUAUAAAUGAAAGUUGUGGUGUACGUUAGGUUUUCCUUACCUCUACAAUAAGAAGACAAAAAAAAUAUGUCGCACAAUGCACCUAAGGAACGUUGAUUUUAUUGUUUGCGAUAACAAGAAAAAGGCUGAUGAGGAAGACUUGGAGAGAUUUCACUGUGAACAUUGUGAAAGAUCGUAUUUAAGAACAAAAUUACUUGUAUUGUCAGACCCGGGUUGACCAUGCUCAUGCUGGUCUAUCUGAGAAAGUUUCUUAGUUCAGAAUCCUUCUUAAGUGUCAAAGGAUAGGAUGCAGUGGCUUCUUGUUUGGACACCACCUUCAGUUGUAAGUUUUUGUUGGAUUGUCACAUUACAAAAAAGCGCAGUUCAGUGGCUUUCACUCUCGAAAAACAAGAACCCUAAGAACAUUAAGAUUCUAGUGCCUAGACCUCAGAAGUGGAAAUGGUGGUCCUGGCUGUUAUUGCGACCUCACCAGGUGAAGUGGCUGAGGUGGUGGUGAAAGAUACUCAACAGAAACAGGCUAUAAGUGAGAAAACACAUAAUUCUUACUCAAGAAGCACAAUAUGUGAUGCUAUCAUUCGUUUAAGAAACAUGACAAGACUAGGUGUUGCAAGCGAGAUUGUGGGGCUAUCUCAUACAGAAAAAUCAAUCCACAGUUGACAAAUGGGUGAAAUUCAUCCCCUAAAAUCUUUCAUGUGAACCCCUAGCAUUCCUUGGUAACCCUACUACCCUACAACGACUGAAUGAGAUUCUUUUGGAGGGGUGGGCUUGUUUAUAUCUAAAAGGCUGAUAUUGUUGAUAUACCGGGUCAACAAACCGAACUUUAGUUUCUAUGUUAAUUGGUUUGUUACAACCAUAGAUUGAUUUCUUGUUUCCUUUCAUGUGAAAAUUGAUGUGAGGCUACUUGGUUACUUAUGUAGUUGUGAGAUACAAAAACUAGGACAACAAAUUCAAACUUUUCAGUUAGACUGCAACUCCGCAACAGCAUAUUUCUCCUUAAGGUGAACAUCAUUCAAGAUGUAUAUAUUUCCUGAUGAGGGACUACUGUGCACAUACCACGGCUCAUAUUGGCAGUCUGUACGCCUCGAUUGUGUCCAUUGUUUUCUUCCUUUAUAGAUUUAAAAAAUAUCCUAAUCAGUAGUGUGUUUGAUGUUUGAAAUAAAUUUACUAAUCCAUGA